This 167-nucleotide small RNA is filed under the name Providencia rustigianii DSM 4541. Its description in RNAcentral is "RtT RNA". The stretch from base 39 to 167 matches the Rfam family "RtT RNA". Rfam says of the family: This family represents a bacterial cis-regulatory element known as RtT RNA. The exact function of RtT is unknown although it is thought that it may be involved in changing the cellular response in relation to amino acid starvation. Lineage: Bacteria; Pseudomonadati; Pseudomonadota; Gammaproteobacteria; Enterobacterales; Morganellaceae. The record is from RNAcentral.
AAAGAAACUCCCCAAGAAUAAACAACUCUACUAUUUACACAUUGUACGUUGAGUGUAGGUGAGAAGCUGCGCUCAGGUUCGAGCCGAGCGAAGCGAGACAGCGUUGCGCUUGCCGCAACGACCCGAAGGGCGAGGGCAAAGCCCGAGUAAUCCUGCACGACCCACCA